This 449-nucleotide ribosomal RNA is filed under the name uncultured organism. RNAcentral describes it as "partial 16S ribosomal RNA". It matches the Rfam family "Bacterial small subunit ribosomal RNA", at positions 335 to 800 of the family's 1533-position model. The record is from RNAcentral.
ACUCCUGCGGGAGGCAGCAGUGGGGAAUAUUGGACAAUGGGCGCAAGCCUGAUCCAGCCAUGCCGCGUGAGUGAUGAAGGCCCUAGGGUUGUAAAGCUCUUUCACCGGUGAAGAUAAUGACGGUAACCGGAGAAGAAGCCCCGGCUAACUUCGUGCCAGCAGCCGCGGUAAUACGAAGGGGGCUAGCGUUGUUCGGAUUUACUGGGCGUAAAGCGCACGUAGGCGGACUAUUAAGUCAGGGGUGAAAUCCCGGGGCUCAACCCCGGAACUGCCUUUGAUACUGGUAGUCUUGAGUUCGGGAGAGGUGAGUGGAAUUCCGAGUGUAGAGGUGAAAUUCGUAGAUAUUCGGAGGAACACCAGUGGCGAAGGCGGCUCACUGGCUCGAUACUGACGCUGAGGUGCGAAAGCGUGGGGAGCAAACAGGAUUAGAAACCCUUGUAGUCCCAUGA